RNAcentral lists this unclassified non-coding RNA (253 nucleotides) under uncultured Flavobacteriales bacterium. RNAcentral's name for it is "contains 16S-23S intergenic spacer region". It matches the Rfam family "Bacterial small subunit ribosomal RNA", at positions 524 to 776 of the family's 1533-position model. Lineage: Bacteria; Pseudomonadati; Bacteroidota; Flavobacteriia; Flavobacteriales. The record is from RNAcentral.
UACGGGGGGUGCAAGCGUUAUCCGGAUUCAUUGGGUUUAAAGGGUGCGUAGGUGGAAAAUUAAGUCAGUGGUGAAAGCCCACAGCUCAACUGUGGAAUUGCCGUUGAUACUGGUUUUCUUGAGUGUAGUUGGGGUAGGCGGAAUGUGACAUGUAGCGGUGAAAUGCAUAGAUAUGUCACAGAACACCGAUCGCGAAGGCAGCUUACCAAACUAUUACUGACACUGAUGCACGAAAGCGUGGGGAGCGAACAGG